GACGAACGCUGGCGGCGUGCUUAACACAUGCAAGUCGAACGGUGAAGCGCCUUCCUUUUUGGUGGGUGUGGAUGAGUGGCGAACGGGUGAGUAACACGUGAGUAACCUGCCCCCUUCUUCUGGAUAACCGCAUGAAGGUGUGGCUAAUACGGGAUAUUCUGGGUCUGUGGCAUGAUGGGUCUGGGAAGGAUAUUGUUUCGGGGGGGGAUGGGCUCGCGGCGGAUCUGGUUGUUGGUGGGGUGAUGGCCUACCAAGGGGGUGACGUGUGGACGGCCUGGGCGGGUAGCCGGCCUGAGAGGGACUGAGACACGGCUCAGACUCAGACGGGAGGCAGAAGUGGAGAGUAGGGAACAAUGGGCGAAAGUGUGAUGCAGCGAGGCGGCGGGUGCGACGGAGGCGUGCGCGGGGUGACCGUCUUUGGGUAGUGAAGCAGGCCCGCCUGUGAUGUGGGGGGGUUGACGGUAGCUGGAUAAGAAGCGCCGGCUAACUACGUG
RNAcentral lists this ribosomal RNA (494 nucleotides) under uncultured bacterium. RNAcentral's name for it is "partial 16S ribosomal RNA". It matches the Rfam family "Bacterial small subunit ribosomal RNA", at positions 28 to 507 of the family's 1533-position model. The record is from RNAcentral.